GAACAUGUCUCAGUUGAUAUUGUCAUAUGCUAUGUGACCUUCAGCAAGUGACUGAGUUUCUCUAGUCUUUCAUUUGGAAAAAGCUGGGACCCUAGCCCAUGGCACGGUCCACCUACACUCGGGGAAUUAAAGGAGAAGAGAACUGAAGAGCAGGUCAACACAUGAUCCAGACUGUUUUAUAAAAGGAGCAGUUCCGAGUAAGGAUUUCAGAACGGCAAGGCACAGAACAGAGAAGGGGCAGAGCACUGAAACCUCACUGUGUGGUGUAUAACCCAGCUCUUUACCCUUCUGGUUACAUGGGCUCACGCAGAGACGA
Long non-coding RNA from Peromyscus eremicus (cactus mouse), 316 nucleotides. RefSeq lists it as uncharacterized. The transcript is spliced from 3 exons. The record is from RefSeq and is a predicted model, not a curated record. NCBI's taxonomy places the organism in Eukaryota, Metazoa, Chordata, Mammalia, Rodentia, Cricetidae.